Molecule: ribosomal RNA, 253 nt
Filed under: uncultured bacterium
Lineage: Bacteria
Description: partial 16S ribosomal RNA
Rfam family: Bacterial small subunit ribosomal RNA
Source: RNAcentral
GACGAACCGUGCGAACGUUAUUCGGAAUCAUUGGGCUUAAAGGGCUCGUAGGCGGCCAACUAAGUCCGACGUGAAAUCCCCAGGCUCAACCUGGGAACUGCGUCGGAUACUGGAUGGCUUGAAUUCGGGAGAGGGAUGCAGAAUUCCAGGUGUAGCGGUGAAAUGCGUAGAUAUCUGGAGGAAUACCGGUGGCGAAGGCGGCAUCCUGGACCGACAUUGACGCUGAGGAGCGAAAGCUAGGGGAGCAAACGGG